ACUGGUCAGUCGACCCCGAACCGCGCAUGCGCGGGACCCCGAACUGCGCAUGCGCCGGACCCCGCCGCGUGUAAGGCGGGGAGCCCGAGACUUGGUUCUAAGAGCGCCCACUGCGAUCUGGGGCCUCGGCCAGGAGACCUCGGUGCAGGCCUCAGCUCUGCUCCUGGCUGCAUGAAAUCAUCUCGGGCACCUCUCACGCCUCAGAAUUUCAAGUGAGGCUGAAGGCCCCCGGCUCGUCCCGCUGUUGCCGCCCAUGACACCUGACCAGUAGUCAGGAUUGCUCUCCAAGUCUCCAGACACAGGGAACUGCUUGCUUCGCAUCUGAUGCUCCACAGGAACUGGCUCCAGUUGGAAGCCUACUUGUUUACAGAGAGGGAGGCUUCCUACAUGCUCUGUUCUUGGAAUAGAAGAACCACUGUUAUUGCUGCACCUACGGCAGGCUUUCCAGAACUUGGUUAUCUGUAGCUGGCCCCUCCUAGUACAUCAUCAUCCUUGCUCAAAUGUUUUCUUCUUCCUGUAUAAUUCUGUGAUGAGCUGUGAUUAUCCCAGGCAUGUUGGGCCAAAAAGGGAGAGAGAAGCUACAGAAUCCUCCCUACUGUUGGCCCAGUCCCAAGAUGGGCCUUCAGAGCCAGUACCACCACAUGCUUUAGAGGCACCCCACUCUGGUCUCCUUGGUCUGUGCACUCCCCACACAGCAAGAAGUGCACAGAUCAAGGGGAAAUGCACAGCUAGUGUCCAUAUGCCCCUCUUCUAGCUCACACUCAUCCAGGAACCUGGAAUAUCCUGCCUGAGUGGCACCAAGACUAUUUCCAGAGCCUGGGUAGGCCUCUUCCCCUCUAAUCCAAGUUUUCCUGGUAUAUAUGACCUUGGGUGGCCAAGCCAGCUGUUUAGAGGUUUGGGAAGAAAAGGAGGGUGGGCUAUACUUCUGGCCUGUGUGCCUCUAUUUUUACUCUGGCCCCAGCUCAAAAAUGUAAGGGGUGGGGGUCUAGUCAUAGCCUCCUCAUUUUCUAAGGUGGCAUCCGUUAGAUUUUUACAAAGGCACUUGUGAACAAGGACCAGAAUUCUAGAAAGAAAAAAAAAAAACCCAACUAUUUAUUUAUAAA
This is a non-coding RNA of Microcebus murinus (gray mouse lemur), 1103 nucleotides long. Lineage: Eukaryota; Metazoa; Chordata; Mammalia; Primates; Cheirogaleidae. The record is from RefSeq and is a predicted model, not a curated record.